UGUUGCCUACGGGGGGCAGCAGUGGGGGAUAUUGCACAAUGGGGGGAACCCUGAUGCAGCGACGCCGCGUGGGUGAAGGAGUGCUUCGGCAUGUAAAGCCCUAUCGGCAGGGAAGAAGCAAGACGGUACCUGACUAAGAAGCCCCGGCUAAAUACGUGCCAGCAGCCGCGGUAAUACGUAUGGUGCAAGCGUUAUCCGGAUUUACUGGGUGUAAAGGGAGCGCAGGCGGCACGGCAAGCCUGAUGUGAAAGCCCGCGGCCCAACCGCGGGACUGCAUUGGGAACUACCGGGCUGGAGUGCCGGAG
This 305-nucleotide ribosomal RNA is filed under the name uncultured bacterium. Its description in RNAcentral is "bacterial SSU rRNA". It matches the Rfam family "Bacterial small subunit ribosomal RNA", at positions 333 to 654 of the family's 1533-position model. The record is from RNAcentral.